Non-coding RNA from Podarcis lilfordi (Lilford's wall lizard), 71 nucleotides. The record is from the annotation of a GenBank genome assembly. Lineage: Eukaryota; Metazoa; Chordata; Lepidosauria; Squamata; Lacertidae.
GGCCAUAGCUCAGGUGGUAGAGCAUCUGCUUUGCAUGCAGAAGGUGCCAAGUGCAAUCUCUGGCAUCUCCA